This 1072-nucleotide small RNA is filed under the name Pongo abelii (Sumatran orangutan). RNAcentral describes it as "retained intron". The record is from RNAcentral. Lineage: Eukaryota; Metazoa; Chordata; Mammalia; Primates; Hominidae.
UCGCGGCGGGAACGCGAGGCCUACGUUUUCUGCUGUCUUCAUCAGCGUGGGCCGGGGGCCAUCAUGAGGAAGCCACGAGCAGCCGUGGGAAGUGGUCACAGGAAGCAGGCAGCCAGCCAGGAAGGGAGGCAGAAGCGUGCUAAGAACAACAGUCAGGCCAAGCCUUCUGCCUGUGAUGGUCUGGCCAGGCAGCCGGAAGAGGUGGUAUUGCAGGCUUCUGUCUCCUCAUACCAUGUAUUCAGAGACUUAGCUGAAGUCACAGCCUUCCGAGGGAGCCUGCUAAGCUGGUACGACCAAGAGAAACGGGACCUACCAUGGAGAAGACGGGCAGAAGAUGAGGUGGACCUGGACAGGCGGGCAUAUGCUGGUCAGUACAUCUCCUGAGAGCAGGGCUACUUUGCCUCGAGGCCCUUGGGUCUGGGGGCUGUGGGCCAGGUAGGGCAGGUCAGCAGUGUCCUCAUGCCAACCCCUUUCCCCUAGUGUGGGUCUCAGAGGUCAUGCUGCAGCAGACCCAGGUUGCCACUGUGAUCAACUACUAUACCGGAUGGAUGAAGGUGACUCCAGGGGAGGAAGGGAAGGGUCAUGGGUCAGACCCCAGAUGAGAGCCUGUACUUUGGGGUGGGUGUAGAGAAGGCUUCCUCUACCACCUUCGCCCUUGACCUUGUCUUUUUCUGCCUGCCUGUGGCUAUAGAAGUGGCCUACACUGCAGGACCUGGCCAGUGCUUCCCUGGAGGUGAGAGCCACCCUAGGGUAGGGGAAAUAGGAAUGAUAGAGGGACUGAAGGGUGAUCUCUUUGACCUCUGAUCCUACCCACAGGAGGUGAAUCAACUCUGGGCUGGCCUGGGCUACUAUUCUCGUGGCCGGCGGCUGCAGGAGGGAGCUCGGAAGGUAAGGGGAUGGCAGGAGGGUAGGAACCCAGGAGUCUUGGGUGUCUCAUAAUCUUGAGUCUUGCACUCCAAUCAGGUGGUAGAGGAGCUAGGGGGCCACAUGCCACAUACAGCAGAGACCCUGCAGCAGUUCCUGCCUGGCGUGGGGCGCUACACAGCUGGGGCCAUUGCCUCUAUCGCCUUUG